RNAcentral lists this ribosomal RNA (534 nucleotides) under uncultured bacterium. Its description in RNAcentral is "partial 16S ribosomal RNA". It matches the Rfam family "Bacterial small subunit ribosomal RNA", at positions 39 to 536 of the family's 1533-position model. The record is from RNAcentral.
NNUUCCCUGACGCUACGGCAGGCCUAAUACNUGCANGUCGAACGGUAAGGUCCCUUCGGGGAUACACGAGUGGCGCACGGGUGCGUAACGCGUAUGCAACCUACCCUUUACUGGGGGGAUAGCCCGGAGAAAUCCGGAUUAAUACUCCAUGGUACUAUAGUGUAGCAUUACAUAAUAGUUAAAGAUUUAUUGGUAAAGGAUGGGCAUGCGUGACAUUAGUUAGUUGGUGAGGUAAUGGCUCACCAAGACGAUGAUGUCUAGGGGUUCUGAGAGGAAGGUCCCCCACACUGGCACUGAGAUACGGGCCAGACUCCUACGGGAGGCAGCAGUAGGGAAUAUUGGUCAAUGGGCGAAAGCCUGAACCANCCAUGCCGCGUGCAGGAANACAGCCUUCUGGGUUGUAAACUGCUUUUAUACAGGAACAANANGCCAUGCGUGGCAAGUUCNUGUCUUGUAUGAAUAACACCGGCUACUCCUGCCNCANCCNCGGUAAUACNGAGGUNCANCCUUNNCCGAUUAUUGGUUUAANGGNCC